RNAcentral lists this ribosomal RNA (394 nucleotides) under uncultured bacterium. RNAcentral describes it as "bacterial SSU rRNA". It matches the Rfam family "Bacterial small subunit ribosomal RNA", at positions 37 to 433 of the family's 1533-position model. The record is from RNAcentral.
UGGCGGCAUGCCUUACACAUGCAAGUCGAACGGCAGCACGGGAGCAAUCCUGGUGGCGAGUGGCGAACGGGUGAGUAACAUAUCGGAACGUGCCCAGUGAUGGGGGAUAGCCCGGCGAAAGCCGGAUUAAUACCGCAUACGACCUACGGGUGAAAGCAGGGGAUCGCAAGACCUUGCGUCAUUGGAGCGGCCGAUAUCAGAUUAGCUUGUUGGUGGGGUAAGAGCCCACCAAGGCGACGAUCUGUAGCUGGUCUGAGAGGACGACCAGCCACACUGGGACUGAGACACGGCCCAGACUCCUACGGGAGGCAGCAGUGGGGAAUUUUGGACAAUGGGCGCAAGNCUGAUCCAGCCAUGCCGCGUGCGGGAAGAAGGCCUUCGGGUUGUAAACCGC